UACCCGCGGCCCGAGUGGUGCCCAUUAUUAUUGAGCCUAAAGCGUCCGUAGCUGGCCGGGCAAAUCUCCGGGUAAAUCCGACGGCUCAACCGUCGGAAUUCCGGAGACACUGCUCGGCUUGGGAUCGGGAGAGGGAGAAGGUACUCCCUGGGUAGGGGUAAAAUCCUGUAAUCCGGGGGGGACCACCAGUGGCGAAGGCGUUCUCCUAGAACGAAUCCGACAGUGAGGGACGAAGCCCUAGGGCGCAAACGGG
This 253-nucleotide ribosomal RNA is filed under the name uncultured prokaryote. RNAcentral describes it as "partial 16S ribosomal RNA". It matches the Rfam family "Archaeal small subunit ribosomal RNA", at positions 474 to 727 of the family's 1478-position model. The record is from RNAcentral.